UGCAUGUCUAAGUACAUGCCGUAUUAAGGCGAAACCGCGAAUGGCUCAUUAAAUCAGUUAUGGUUCCUUGGAUCGUACCUUACUACUUGGAUAACUGUGGCAAUUCUAGAGCUAAUACAUGCAGCAGAGCUCCGACCUUCGGGAACGAGCGCUUUUAUUAGACCAAAACCAAUCGGACCUCGCGUCCGUCAAUCGUGGUGACUCUGUAUAACUUUGGGCUGAUCGCACGGGCUCGUCCCGGCGACGUAUCUUUCAAGUGUCUGCCUUAUCAACUGUCGAUGGUAGGUUACGCGCCUACCAUGGUCGUAACGGGUGACGGGGAAUCAGGGUUCGAUUCCGGAGAGGGAGCCUGAGAAACGGCUACCACAUCCAAGGAAGGCAGCAGGCGCGCAAAUUACCCACUCCCAGAACGGGGAGGUAGUGACGAAAAAUAACAAUACGGGACUCUUUUGAGACCCCGUAAUUGGAAUGAGUACACUCUAAAUCCUUUAACAAUGAUCAAUUGGAGGGCAAGUCUGGUGCCAGCAGCCGCGGUAAUUCCAGCUCCAAUAGCGUAUAUUAAAGUUGUUGCGGUUAAAAAGCUCGUAGUUGGAUCUCGGUUACCGAAACGCGGUCCGCCUAACGGUGGUCACUGCGUUUUCGGAACGCUCUGGAGUCGGUUUUCCUUGAUGAUCUUCACCGGUUGUCUCGGGUGACCGACAAGUUUACUUUGAAAAAAUUAGAGUGCUCAAAGCAGGCGCGACGCCUGAAUAAUGGUGCAUGGAAUAAUGGAAUAGGACCUCGGUUCUAUUUUGUUGGUUUUCGGAACACGAGGUAAUGAUUAAGAGGGACAGACGGGGGCAUUCGUAUUGCUGAGCUAGAGGUGAAA
RNAcentral lists this ribosomal RNA (868 nucleotides) under Hersilia insulana. Its description in RNAcentral is "SSU rRNA". It matches the Rfam family "Eukaryotic small subunit ribosomal RNA", at positions 52 to 916 of the family's 1831-position model. Lineage: Eukaryota; Metazoa; Arthropoda; Arachnida; Araneae; Hersiliidae. The record is from RNAcentral.